This is a long non-coding RNA of Salarias fasciatus (jewelled blenny), 1569 nucleotides long. The record is from Ensembl. NCBI's taxonomy places the organism in Eukaryota, Metazoa, Chordata, Actinopteri, Blenniiformes, Blenniidae.
AGCCAGAGGUCGUGAAGCUGAAGAAGGUCCCCGUGAAACCCCCAGAGCCCGAAAAACACAUCGUUACUCAACAAGCAGAAAUAACAAAACAUCAGGAUGAAGAACUUUGGGUUCAUAAACUCCAUGAUAGAGAAGACCGAGAGAUAAUAACACUUGCGAGAACUGAGCGAGUCUUCACUGCCACAGAGGAGACAUUUCAAUUAGGACAUGCAGAGGAAGCUCAGAGAGUUUUAGUGGAAAGCAAUGCUGAAGCUUGGACAAGAACAACAGAACCAAAGGAAGAAAAGGAACCUGAGUCUCUGAGUGUAACCAAGAAGAAAAUAACUAAACUCCCAAAACCAGAAGAGCAGAGAGAGUCUAUCCAACUGAAACCUUUUGAAAAACAUCAAGAAAAAGAACGAGAGUCUGCUGAACUGACACCAGUGUCCAGUAAACUCAAAGAGCCUCGGACGGAAACCCGAGCUAAAAAAACUGAAGUUUCACAAUAUCACCAACAAGAAUUAUCAGUCUCUGGACUUCACCACAGAGAAGAAGGAGAAACCACAGAGAAGGAGAGCAUUCAGUCUGUGGAGGCUAAAGAAGCUGCAGUGGACAGAAAAUAUCAGGCAGAAGAACCAGAACCUCAGAAAGAAGAAGAACCCCAACCACCAAGUACAGACAAGAAAAAAGUGACCAAACUGCCAAAACAAGAAGAGCAGAGAGAGUCUGUUAAACUAAAACCCUUUGAGAGACCAAAAAAGCCAGAAGAGGAACUUGAGAAGAUCACACUGAAAAAGGUGCCAACAAAACCCAAAGAGCCGGAGAAAGAAGUCGUAACUCACAAAGUGGAAGUCACCAAACAUCAAGAUGAAGAACUUUGGGUUCAUGGACUCCACGACAGAGAAGACCGAGAGAUAAUAACACUCGGAAGAACCGAGCGAGUGUUCACCGCCGAGGAGGAGACGAUCCAGUUAGGAUAUUUUGAAGAGGUAGAAAGAAUUGCAGUGGAAAGCAAAGCAGAAAAAGAAACUAGGACAGUAACUAGAAAACCUCAGAAAGAAGAACCGGAACCACCAAGUGUAGACAAAAAGAAAGGAGCAAAAGCACCUCCACCAGGUCCACCAGGGGACCAGAAAGAGUCAGUCAAACUGAAAACACCUCAGAAACCUAAACAAACUGAAACAGAACCAGAGAAGAUCAAACUGAAAAAGGUGCCAACGAAACCUAAAGAGCCAGAGAAAGAACUUGAAACUCAUAAAGUGGAGGUGACGAGGCAUUACGACACAGAAGUAACAGUGCAAAAGCUUCGAUAUCGAGAAGACCGGGAGAUAAUAACUCUGGGAAGGACUGAACAAGUCUUCACUGCAACUGAGGAAACAUCUGAGCUUGGGAUUAUGGAGGAACCCCAAAGGCUGGAGACAGCGGAUGAGAAAUCAAGAUGGGAAAGAACCCCAAAAGCACCGAAAGACCAAGAAAGUGAGCCAGAUUUAGCAAAGAAAAAAAUUAAGAUACUGCCAAAGGACCAUGAGGAGCCAGAGGUGGUGACAUUGAAACCAUUUCAAAAACCUCUGGAACAAAAAGCCCCUGAAC